Molecule: ribosomal RNA, 434 nt
Filed under: uncultured Lachnospiraceae bacterium
Lineage: Bacteria; Bacillati; Bacillota; Clostridia; Lachnospirales; Lachnospiraceae
Description: partial 16S ribosomal RNA
Rfam family: Bacterial small subunit ribosomal RNA
Source: RNAcentral
ACGGAAGGCAGCAGUGGGGAAUAUUGCACAAUGGGGGAAACCCUGAUGCAGCGACGCCGCGUGAGUGAGGAAGUUAUUCGUAAUGUAAAGCUCUAUCAGCAGGGAAGAAAAUGACGGUACCUGACUAAGAAGCCCCGGCUAACUACGUGCCAGCAGCCGCGGUAAUACGUAGGGGGCAAGCGUUAUCCGGAUUUACUGGGUGUAAAGGGAGCGUAGACGGUCUAGCAAGUCUGAUGUGAAAGGCAGGGGCUCAACUCCUGGACUGCAUUGGAAACUGUUAGUCUUGAGUGUCGGAGAGGUAAGCGGAAUUCCUAGUGUAGCGGUGAAAUGCGUAGAUAUUAGGAGGAACACCAGUGGCGAAGGCGGCUUACUGGACGAUAACUGACGUUGAGGCUCGAAAGCGUGGGGAGCAAACAGGAUUAGAUACCCUGGUA